AACGAACGCUGGCGGCAGGCCUAACACAUGCAAGUCGAGCGCGCCUUCGGGUGAGCGGCGGGCGGCUGAGUAGCGCGUCGGAAUAUGCCCUUCUCUAUGGCCUAGCCCUGGCAUAGGGGUGGCAAUACCGAACACGCCCUACGGGGGAAUGAUUGCUCGGGGAGGGUUGGGGGCGCGUUGGAUUGGCUGGUGGGUGGGGUAGUGGCCUAGCUAGUCGACGAUGCAUGGCUGGAUUGGGAGCAUGAUCCGUCACACUGGGACUGAGACACGGACCAGACUCCUAGGGGAGGGAGCAGUAGGGAAUCUUAGAGAAGGGAGGCAAACCUGAUAUCGCCAUGCGGCGGGAGUGGGCCAGGCGUUAGGGUUGUAAAGCUCUCUCAGAUGGGAAGAGAGUGACGGUACCAGGAGAAGAAGCCCCGGCUAACUACGUG
RNAcentral lists this ribosomal RNA (431 nucleotides) under uncultured bacterium. Its description in RNAcentral is "partial 16S ribosomal RNA". It matches the Rfam family "Bacterial small subunit ribosomal RNA", at positions 28 to 507 of the family's 1533-position model. The record is from RNAcentral.